Molecule: long non-coding RNA, 6206 nt
Organism: Gasterosteus aculeatus aculeatus (three-spined stickleback)
Lineage: Eukaryota; Metazoa; Chordata; Actinopteri; Perciformes; Gasterosteidae
Source: Ensembl
AAAAACAAACACUGGGACCUGGCGGCCAGAGUCCUCUGGCAUGCAGAGAGGAUUCUAAAUGGUGCGUUCACACCAGAAGCGAAAAUUCGCUUCGCUUUUGGUGUGAACGCACCAUAAUUAACAGUUGCAUUACUCAGAAGGGAAUUGUGAGCUUACAAUCUUGCUGAAAAUAAACUGCUGCACUCUUUGAAAUAAUGUUUUUCCAUUAGUAUGGUCAUUUUCAAGAGGGUUUACUGUCAGGGCCAGGUCCUGUAAAUCCCUUCUUGGUAAUGGUAAAAAUGAAUCAACUCCAUGCAUAGCAGUUUGUGCCGAAGGCUCAUUAGAGAUCUGUUCUAAUGCAGUGUCUGGGUUGUGGAGGUUCUGCAGAUGGCUGUCCAAUGUAAAAAGCUGCAGAGGGGUUCGGUUUCCCUCUGAGGACACUGAAUGGUUAUUAAAUGCAGCCCAAAAUUCACUAAAUGUACGAUUAAUUCUCAGAAUGUACACCUAAUGAAGAGCAAAUAUGUCUGUCUCAUUGUCCAAGUCUAGCACAUUCAUUGACUCCAGUUCAUAAAAAAUGGGUGAAUAAACAUGACUGCAAUUCUUAUUUAAGUCCCGGUUAAAACGUUCAAUACGCUGGUUAUGUACAGAGCUUCCUGUUAAAACAGAUUGUUCUCCUCUGCUUUCCCGCAUAUCCUCCCAAACAAGAACAUUCUCUCCCCCCAGGUCAGUUCUAAUAUGCAGGGGUCUGCCAAACUGUCUUAUUGCUGUACAACGGUUUCAGACCGAUUGUUGUUGGAGCACUGGAGAAACAUGAGCAUCCUGCUGUAGCCAUCCAUGGCACCAUGUUCAACUAAUUUCCAUCUUAUCAGUUUAUGAUUACCAUCCAGGUGCCAGAUAAAAUUUGGACAUGGCACAGAAUAAACACGUCUGGAUAUCGUUGUUCUCCUCCUAGACUCAACACCCCCAGAAUCAACCCUCUUAAUUGACUCUCUUAACCUCUUUCUUUGCACCACAAUGUCCCUGGAACGCAGAUGUCCAUUAAGCAUGACUUCUCCCACAUGAGGAUGUUCUGUUUUAAUCUGAGAUACUGCAGAAUCCAAUUCCUCAUCACUAAAUUGUACAAACUUUGUUCUUGAGAUGUUGUGCUCCCUCAUGAGUUUGUACAGGGUUGGUCUGGAGGAUGGAAGCAACUUCUGUCAGUGUGGUCUUUAAUGACAGCAAAUGUUCGAUAUCUUCUUUGGAAAUGGAGCUCUGGUGUCCAUGGUAACCAUCCUGGAAGCACAACAAAGUGGAUACUUGACACAUAAUACAGCUUAGAAUUACAGUCAUCCACUUUUUACUUACAAUACUAAGAUUUAUGUUCCAAUGACCAUGUUUAAACAAUUUAAAUUUGGACUGAACCAAUACACAAACAUUCUCAAUCUAAUUUGUAAUGAACUUAAUGUAUAUUGCCAAUUGACUCUUGCAAUUGGAUAAAUGGAAUACUUCUGACAAGAUAUGACCUAGUAGCAUCCUUGAGUAUUGGCAGGUGAUAGAAUGUGUCAACAUAAUGAUAACCGGUUGAUGUAAUUCAGAUUUGCAGUUGCAGCCACAUAUUACACAAGGACACAGGACCCUGUUUGAAAACCACUGUAAAAUAACAUGCUUACAACAAAUGACAGGUCUUAAACAAACCCACCGUCCAUGUAUAUAUAUUGAGGAUACUUUCAAUUUCCCAGAUCCCUGUCUCUCUCUCUGUACACUGUUUUAUCAAGCAUCAUUGCGCUGUCCCCCCAACCAAAAGGUUUUGAUAACAAAACAGGCUGGGUAGCAGACCCCUUAUAUCUCAUGAAUUCAAAACUUAUCGAUCUUAGUGAUGUGGUUGCUGUACUCAGGGAUAACACCACUGCGGAUACCUAAACAAAUAAAAACAUCACGUUUAAUGCAGUGCUCCAAAUGAGAAUAACAUUUGCUAGUUCCUUUAUAAUAAUCCACAACACCUAAAAGACUACAUAAAAUGUAUAUUUACAGUCACCAAAUCCUAAGCUCCUAUAAGUAUGUAACGCGCCUUGUUUUAUCAAAAGCCUCCAUCUGUCACUUGUGUUUGCGCGUCUAUGUUGCCUGGUAACAAGCGUAUGCCAAGAGAGGAAAAUGAUACGUGCAUUUAAGAACCCUGCCAUAAAUUUAUCAUUUUAGAAAACUGAGCAGGCACAGGUCCACAUGGAUCUCUGCUAGCCGACCGUCUGCCGAACAGUCCUGAGCUGUUAAACAGGUCUUCGUCUGUACGCCUGGUUGAACCGGCGGCGCAUAACUCUCUGAAGAGGAUUCAGCCUGCUAGCUAAACUGAAACAGCUAAGCUAAACCGAGGAGGUGCACACGCAUAGACGCCGAGGCGUAACUUGAAAUAGUUGAGGCAGGCCGUGGUUGGUGCACAAGAACCAUCGCUGCCACCAAUGUAACCGAGCAUUAUGGGCUCGUGGAUGAUGCACUCGUUCUCCCAUCAACUACCAGUUUUCCCAUAUGGCAGCACUGAAGGGACAUAGUAACCUUAUAUCAAACGUAACGCACUGAACAUGAGACAGUUCAGUUACACUACAAUAAAAAAAAGAAAUAGACAGAGAUAUAUAAAAUUCCACCCGCCAAAGUGGCUGAUGAGAGUGACCGCUUUACCCGCCCCAGCCGAAAUCUACCCGCGCUUGUCGGGUGCUAAUUUCAAGCCCUGCCGUUAAUCCUUAUGGUAGCUUUGUGGGUUUCAACAUGGCUAGCUAGCAUAGUUAGCUAGCUAACUAGCCCCCCACUUCCCCCAUUAAAAAAACAACCGUAUUUACGAACUUACCGGAGGCAAUGAUGUGGUGUCUGUUGAGUUUGUUGUUUGACAUGAGGAGCAAUAUUUUCCUAAUGUCAAGUGCUGAUACAUCGCUAUUCAUCCGGUUACUUCAAUUCAUUUUAUUUUGUAUAGCCCAUAAUCGCAAAUUACAAAUUUGCCUCAGAGGGCUUUACAGUCUGUACACAUACAACAUCCUCUGCCCCGAAACCCACCAUCGGCACAGGAAAAACUCCCCAAAAAAUGAAAAAAUCCUUACAAGAGGGAAAAAAGGGAAGAAACCUUAGGGAGAACGUCAGAGGAGGGAUCCCACUCCCGGGAUGGACAGACUACAAUGGAUGCCAUGUGUACAGAAUGAACAAUGUAUAAUACAUGCAAUUCCUAUGACAGAAAUGAUUCAAGUAAUUGUGAGUAGUAAGCCAGGCGCACAGCAGGACCACUGCAGGGGCAACCACCAUCCACAGACGCCCGUGGGGAGGGAGAGCACAGAGACUUUAGGAGAGGGUAAUGUUGUUUUAUGAGUACAGUAAUAUGAUUAAUAUCUAAAAUAAUGAUGAUGAUGGCAGCAGCAGGCGUCAGCAUGGCCACGGUAGGUGUCAGGACCAGGGUCCAGAAGGAACUAUGAUCUACGGAGACCUGCUAGGGGAGAAAACACAAAAAACUCCCGGAAAGAAGCUGAAUUAGUCAUGUGCAUUAAUAAAACGUGAAUUAUGGUAGAACGAGAGCGUGAGAGAGGAGCUUGGUGUGUCCUAAUUCCCCCGGCAUUCUAAGCCUAUAGCAGCUUAACUAAGGGCUGGUCCGGGCUAACCUGAGCCAGCCCUAACUAUAGGCAGAAUCAAAGUGGAAAGUUUCAAGUUUUACUUUAAAAGAGCUGACCGAAUCUGUGGUUCCUUUUGUGUGGCUUGAUGAGUGUGACCAUGCCUUUAACUCUGCUAAGUCUCACCUUUGUAGUGCUGGCUGCGCCGGACAUUACUCGGCCUUUCCAGCUUGAGAAGUAUAAUGGCAAUCAGCGCUUGAUGCGCUGGGCCCUUUUGGCCCAGGGUUACAACAUCUGCAUCAAGCACAAUAAGGGAGCUGGCAACAUUGUGGCUGACGCGCUGUCCCGUGGGUGAGACCACAUUUGAGUAAUGAAAUUGAGUUUCUGGUUAGACUGGUGGAUCAGUAGUGAUGUAUUAAAUGGUGAUUAUGUAUAAUCAUGCAUAUGGGGGAGGAGUUUCCUCUUAUGGGAGGGGGUGUUACGUGUCUUGUUUGUGUUUGCACGUGUGUGUGUGUGAGAUUUUCAUCAGUUGUGCUGGCGACGUCACUCCUGGAGUCGAUCAGCAUGGGAAUAAAUGGCGGUGCCAAGCCAGGGUGGGGUGUUGCUUCAGUGGAAGCCAGAGCGGAACCAGAGAGGUUGUGAGGUGCUGCCGUGAGGAGGUUUUGGGAACCAGUAAAGAAGGAGCCAUACACCGUACUAGUCUUCCUUUUGGAGAUUGUUUUCAGUUGCCUUGUGUUGUUUUCAAUCAUUAAAUAUCCUGUUUUGCCGUUGGUCCAGAUCUCCCGGGUUUAUUAUUUUAACUUGUUUACGUCCUCCACCAUUAGACACUUUAGGGACGUAACAAUGCUCGAUGCUUAUUCUCACUUUGGUUUUGGCCAUGUUUGUCUGAGAGAAAUUAUACCUGUAUCAGCGUCUUCCUCUUUGUCUGGGCUUAUUCUUCGAUGUCUUGCUUUCUUUGUUUACCCCUUGCUAUGCUGAGAAUGCACCGCCAUAUGCACAAUUCUGGACCAAUUUGCAUAUUGUAUUUUAUAACUUGUUGGAGUUGUAUUUGACAUGACGGACAAGGAGAAGUAUUAAUUUAUUGCUCCAACCUCAUCGCUACGCUUGAGGAAAUGGUGGACCAUAGACAAAAAACAACUUGAUCCCGUUUGGUGAUUCCAGAAACCAUGUUUAUACAUUUAAAAUUGUAUUUUGCUUGUUAUAAUGUUGUCAUUUUUAGAAAAAUGUAAUGUUUGCAAACAGGAGUUGACACACAUACAAGUCGUGCACCAAGCCUACUCAAAAGGUUUUCAUCCCCGGAGCAGGAAUAUGUAGUUGCAAGAUAAACAUGCUAAAACAGGGCGGGGGCUCUGGGCAAUACCCAAGUGCGGGUUGUCGACCUUGGAUGGAGACUAUCAUCUUUGGCACCACAAGAUUAUAAACAAUGACGCACAAAACAUCUUGCAUUAGCAGGUGACCCAGAGCACAAUGUGCCUCUAUGUGGAGCAGCACAGACUUUCUAUCUUACUGAGGUGGAACAUUAUUGCAGUUAUUCCAACAGUCGUCAUAAAACUGAAGCGUAUAAUAGAAUACUGAAGUAAUUGACAUGUGACAAGAAGCUAUGAUGCAGUUGUUUCUAUCCCAUUAACUAACCCCCUUUACCUUCUGACUGAUUAUAAAAGAGUCUCUGGAUAAAUCACAUUUAGUAAGAUGAUGUGAUAUUUGUGCAUGGUUAUAACAAAGUUAUCUAGCUAGCAAACCAGCCAAGCGAUGUGUAAAACACUAAUACUAGAGAAAAACUAAAGCAUUGACUUUUAAUUCAUAGUACGAUUCAAGAAUACAAAAUUAAAAAAACUUCUUUCCCCAUUAACCAUGCUACCAACCAUACCAUUUUUUUCUAAAAUACGUUGUUGUGGGUUACUGUCGGAAAAACUUCAAUAAUGUCAUAGUUAAUAGGGCCUUUAGUACAACACUUCUGUAGGUCAUGUCAGCCGACUACAUCUGCACUUUAUGCACGCUCCCCAAACUCUGUAGCCCAAGGAAAUUAACCACAAGUCAUUGCAAUGUGACGUCAAAAACGGGAAAAUCAGUGAAGGCGUGAAUAAAAAAGAAAAGAUAAUCAAGAGGGCGGCACACGUGUGUUUAGAAAUGUAUACAUUUAAAACAUGAAAGAUUAAAGAUGGAGAAUUAAACACAUGAAAACAGAGGAUAUUUAUUCAUGAAAUAUAUAUUUUAGACAUUGAAGCCAUGUUGACAACGAAAACUUACAGUGCAUCCGGAAAGUAUUCACAGCGCUUCACUUUUCCCACAUUUUGUUAUGUUACAGCCUUAUUCCAAAAUGGAUUAGAUUCAUUAUUUUCCUGAACAUUCUACACACAAUAACCCAUAAUAACAAAGUGAAAACUUUUUUGCAAAUAUGUUAAAAAUAAAGAACGGAAACAUAACAUGUACAUAAGUAUUUACAGCCUUUGCUCAAUACUUUAUUAAGGCUGUAAUUGCUGCCAAAGGUGCUUCCAGUCUUCUUGGGUAUGAUUCCACAAGCGUGGCACACCUAUUUCUGGGCAGUUUCUCCCAUUCUUCUUUGUAGAACCUCUCAAGUUCCAUCAGGUUGGAUGGGGAGCGUCGGUGCACAGCCAUUUUCAGAUCUCUCCAGAGAUGUUCAAUGGGGUUCAAGUCAGGGCUAUGGCU